Molecule: ribosomal RNA, 820 nt
Filed under: uncultured bacterium
Lineage: Bacteria
Description: bacterial SSU rRNA
Rfam family: Bacterial small subunit ribosomal RNA
Source: RNAcentral
GUGAAAUGCGUAGAUACCCGGAAGAACACCAAAGGCGAAGGCAGUGUCCUGGCUCGUAUCUGACGCUGAGGAGCGAGAGCUAGGGGAGCGAACAGGAUUAGAUACCCUGGUAGUCCUAGCCGUAAACGAUGACCACUAGGCGUGGGAGGUAUCGACCCCUUCCGUGCCGUCGUUAACACAGUAAGUGGUCCGCCUGGGGAGUACGGUCGCAAGAUUAAAACUCAAAGGAAUUGACGGGGACCCGCACAAGCAGCGGAGCGUGUGGUUUAAUUCGAAGCAACGCGAAGAACCUUACCAGGGCUUGACAUGGACCGGUACAGCGUGGAAACACGCCUCCCUUCGGGGCCGGUUCACAGGUGCUGCAUGGCUGUCGUCAGCUCGUGUCGUGAGAUGUUGGGUUAAGUCCCGCAACGAGCGCAACCCUCGUCGUCGGUUAUCGGUGUCCGAUGAGACUGCCACGUUCAACGUGGAGGAAGGUGGGGAUGACGUCAAGCCAGCACGGCCCUUACGUCCUGGGCGACACACACGCUACAAUGGCCGCGACAACGAGUUGCCAACCCGCGAGGGGGAGCUAAUCUCAGCAAACGCGGUCUCAGUUCAGAUUGUAGGCUGCAACCCGCCUGCAUGAAGUGGGAGUUGCUAGUAACCGUGAGUCAGCACAUCACGGUGAAUCCGUUCCCGGGUCUUGUACACACCGCCCGUCACACCACGAAAGUCGGCAACCCCUGAAGCCGCCAGGCUAACCCUCUUCUCAGGAAGAGGGAGGCAAGCGUCGAGGGUGGGGUCGGUGAUUGGGGUGAAGUCGUAACAAGGUAACCGU